RNAcentral lists this small nucleolar RNA (152 nucleotides) under Castor canadensis (American beaver). Its description in RNAcentral is "Small nucleolar RNA SNORA57 (ENSCCNG00000021073.1)". It matches the Rfam family "Small nucleolar RNA SNORA57". Rfam says of the family: U99 belongs to the H/ACA class of snoRNAs which are thought to guide the sites of modification of uridines to pseudouridines, the target for this family is unknown. The record is from Rfam by way of RNAcentral. Lineage: Eukaryota; Metazoa; Chordata; Mammalia; Rodentia; Castoridae.
UCUCCUUUUCUUGGGGGGACCAGGCAUGUGGUCCUGCUUCCCAUUAUAUAAGAAGGCAGAAGAAGGAAAGGGCACUGGCUCUCUCGGUGUCGUGGCUUCAGUAACUGGCAGCUUCCCGUUCACCAGUUCUAUCCUCAAAUGCUGGGACAUGG